This 71-nucleotide transfer RNA is filed under the name Shewanella oncorhynchi. Its description in RNAcentral is "tRNA-Met". It matches the Rfam family "tRNA". Rfam says of the family: Transfer RNA (tRNA) molecules are approximately 80 nucleotides in length. Their secondary structure includes four short double-helical elements and three loops (D, anti-codon, and T loops). The record is from RNAcentral. Lineage: Bacteria; Pseudomonadati; Pseudomonadota; Gammaproteobacteria; Alteromonadales; Shewanellaceae.
CGCGGGAUGGAGCAGCAUGGUAGCUCGUCGGGCUCAUAACCCGAAGGUCGUCGGUUCAAAUCCGGCUCCCG